GAUGAACGCUAGCGGCAGGCUUAACACAUGCAAGUCGAGGGGUAUUUAUCUUCGGAUAGAGAGACCGGCGCACGGGUGCGUAACGCGUAUGCAAUCUACCUUUUACAGAGGGAUAGCCCAGAGAAAUUUGGAUUAAUACCUCAUAGUAUAUAGACUCGGCAUCGAGAUUAUAUUAAAGUCACAACGGUAAAAGAUGAGCAUGCGUCCCAUUAGCUAGUUGGUAAGGUAACGGCUUACCAAGGCUACGAUGGGUAGGGGUCCUGAGAGGGAGAUCCCCCACACUGGUACUGAGACCCGGACCAGAGUGCUACGGGAGGCAGCAGUGAGGAAUAUAGGAGAAUGGGCGCAAGCCUGAUCCAGCCAAGCCGCGUGCAGGAUGACGGUCCUAUGGAUUGUAAACUGCUUUUAGACGAGAAGAAACACUGCUACGGGUAGCAGCUUGACGGUAACGUAAGAAUAAGGAUCGGCUAACUACGUG
RNAcentral lists this ribosomal RNA (478 nucleotides) under uncultured bacterium. RNAcentral describes it as "partial 16S ribosomal RNA". It matches the Rfam family "Bacterial small subunit ribosomal RNA", at positions 28 to 507 of the family's 1533-position model. The record is from RNAcentral.